RNAcentral lists this ribosomal RNA (247 nucleotides) under uncultured bacterium. RNAcentral describes it as "partial 16S ribosomal RNA". It matches the Rfam family "Bacterial small subunit ribosomal RNA", at positions 523 to 769 of the family's 1533-position model. The record is from RNAcentral.
AUACGUAGGUGGCGAGCGUUAUCCGGAAUUAUUGGGCGUAAAGAGCGCGCAGGUGGUUGAUUAAGUCUGAUGUGAAAGCCCACGGCUUAACCGUGGAGGGUCAUUGGAAACUGGUCGACUUGAGUGCAGAAGAGGGAAGUGGAAUUCCAUGUGUAGCGGUGAAAUGCGUAGAUAUUAGGAGGAACACCAGUGGCGAAGGCGGCUUGCUGGACAAAUACUGACGCUGAGGUGCGAAAGCGUGGGGAGC